ACACUUCUUUGAGUUCUUUCGACAGCCCAUCAAGCAAAACCUGCCAAAAACUAAACCCUACAUAAUCGGAAAAAAAAAAAUCAACAGUGUUCGAAAGGUUUUUUUAACCCCCAAAACACUCCAACCCUGGAGCCCAAAACAUGGAUCUGAUAGAAGCCGCGAAUAGGCUCUCGUUCCAGAUCGGAUUCUUUGGCCACAAUAGCCACUUCGGGCUUGAGUCCCUCUCCACCGUUGAAGGCUCCUACCCCGUCAACUCUCUCCUUGAUUUCAUUCUGGUCAGUUCUCUCCUUCCACUUUGCAAUUCCGCUGCCAAUUUUAUUUUCGUCCAGGGUUUGCCUUCGCAAAGUCACUCCCUUUUACUUCUUAAUUUGCAUAAAUUGGAUGCCAUUAUGUUUAAGUGUCGAAUUGCCGUGUUGGACUUUGGUAUAAGUGCAUUUGGAAGCUGAAUUGUAAUGUGGAGAGUGUAAGUUUGAAAGCUUCAAUGCUUCAAUGGUAAGCAACCAAAGAUUGGUUUCAAAAUUUGUUUCCGGAAACUGGAGACUAGGAGAGUAUUUUCAAUUUGGUGUGAGCGAGAUCAAAUCUUGAUGAUUUGGAUAAAUUCAACUCUAUCUAAAGAUCUCAUUCCUUUGACUAUUGGAAUGGAUGAUUCCAGAUCCCUGUGGCUUUCUCUGGAAAAACGUUUUGCUAGAGCUUCUCGCACACACAUUCAUAGUCUUCGUGCUAAGAUUCAAAUGAUCCAAAAAGGUGAUUCUUCGAUGACUGAUUACCUCAAUUCAAUUAAAGAAAUUACUAACAAAUUGGUUGUUGUGAGUGAACCGAUUUCUGAGUCUGAUUUGGUAGCCUAUAUUCUGUUUGAUCUCCCUGAUGAUUAUGAAUCAUUUGUUGAUUCCAUUGAAACCAGAAAUGAAUCUGUUACUUCUAAUGAACUUCAUGGUUUACUUUUGAGCAAGGAAAUUUCCUUUCAAAAGCGUAAAACUCGAUUGACUGCACCCAAUGCAUCUACUCCAUUUCAUGCUUAUGCUGCUCAAUCCUCCAAUAAUUCUAGUCAUAACUCUUGAUUCCGAGGGAAUUAUUAAGGCCGCAACCAGAAUCGUACCAAAUUCAAUCAAAAUCGCAAUUUUGGGGGAAAUCAGGUGUUGUUCCAACAUAACUUGUAUCAAAUUACUUGUCUAAAAACCUUAAUGGUCGCGAAUCACUAAGACAAUUAGAUAGUUUAAUCGCAGUGAUUAAUAAUUCAGAGCAAGCAUGCAUCCAUUCAUAAGUAAAUUAAUAAAGUCACAUAUUCAUGAUAAGGCUUAAGGCUUCGCUCUAGCAAAAGGACUAGUUACGAACAAUCAUAAUAAAAACUAAAGAAAAUAUAUUAACUAGAAAAAAGAUUGAAAACACCUUUUAAGUUCUCCAAAAUAUUGCGUCUCCUCCCAAUGUUGCAUCCCCCAAACCCUAAUAGCUAAAAAGUCUUAUUUAUACUACUCCAAAUUAAAACCCUCAUAGAAAAGGUUUUUUAAAUAACAAAAGGAUAACUAGAAAUUAUAUUCAUAUUCUGACUAGGAAAUCUGCCCAUAAAAAAGAUAGCCACGUUCCUGCCCAUAAAAAAGAAAAUCAUGUUCUUUCAUCACUUCAUUGCCAUGAAUUUGGCAAAGAAGAUUCGUCAAAGGUUCAAAUAAAAAAUCUAUCUAAACCCUAAACAUUGUUAGAAACCAAUCAAAUAUCAAGUAUAUAAUAUAUAACAAUUGUACAGUUUAUUUCUAAUAGAACUUUCACAAAAGAUACAAUAUAUCUCACAAUAUGAACAAUUAAUAAAAUUGAAUAAUAAAUCACAAAAAAACACUGACUUGUUGUUUGAAGAUAGAGGCUUGCAAAAGCAAUCUCCUAAGACAGAAAUUCGUCCAUGCACCAGUGCAGCAGUUCUAUGGACGUCUAUCUUGCAGGAUACAACUAUCUAAUUUAAGUUCUUGCACUCGAACUUGGAUUCUUGUCAAAUUGGUUGCAGUGUUUCUUUGUGAAGUAUGAAAAAGGAGGCGAUGAAAUUGUUGUUUUGGUUUCUGAUUUGACAGCCAUAUUUAUAAUGGCGUAAUGGAGCAGUUAAAGAUGUUCAUGUUUAUCCUUAAGAACGGUUGUAAAUGUUCCCGUGAUCAGUUUUAUCCUUUCGGAAAAAACUGAAUGCAAAAAUAAAAAAUGUAAAAAUGAUACUUGUGUUUUUCGUCCAUCCGAGCCCCAAGGACAAUCUUUGACAUUUAAUAUGCACUCAAACUAUCCAAGUCUAGGACCUAAGGUCCAUAACUUUGGCCCAAUUUCUUUCAAACCAUAAGUGUGGAAACACACUUAUAGAGUGGAUCUUCUAAAGAGGAAUAGGCGAUUUGGGAGUAAGAAUCCCACAAGUUUCACAAGUUCCAACAAACAUUAGAUAGAAAUUUUAACAAACUUUAAAUUAAUUAUUAUUAUUUUCACUAAACAUGCAAUACAAAGCACGUUUUAGUGCUCUUUCAUUGUAAGUUCGGUUUCCUUAUUGGGAAAAAAGUUCUAUUUUUAAAUUGAAGCUUUGUGAAAAAUUAUGUAUGUGCAUAUUUUUCUUGUCGAUUAAUUGUCUUUCCAGCUCUAUUCUUGACUAAAAGUUUGUAAUCGGUUUCAUUAAAGACAAUACUAUUUUUAGAAAAAUUAUUACCUGUGUUUGCACCUAAAAUAUGUCAUUCGGGCUAAAUAUGACAAGAUAUGACAUUUGGAGGAUUACCUAGGAGAAAGGCUAACUUGGAAGGAUGUUUGGCUGCAAGUAGGAGAGUUUGACAUUAAAAUAAUACUUGUCCUUUUUGUUUGGGUGGUGGAGGUUUGCUAAUAGAUUAGUUUAAUCAACAAUUGCAUGUAUUGCAAGUGGAUGGGAGACAAUAUACAGACAUUCUGACAGAGGACAUAUGAAAGAAGCUAGCUUGCUUCUUUUAAUUAUUUUAUUGCAAAUGGGAAAUAGACAUGUGGUGGAGAUGCAACUUGCCUAUUUUAAUAUUAUUUCACAAUGCAAGCUGCAGAGGAGUUUCUUUCGGGCAAGUGCAAUGUUCUCAGCAGUGGGCUUUCUCAUAUAUAUAUAUAAAGAAGCAGAGGCACAAUGAUUAUGGACACUCAACCAAUCAAACAAACAAAUACGCAAACUCUGCUUAAGCCAGAUUUGCAUACACGAAGCUGCAGUUAGCCCCCAACCUUAAUCAUUCUCAGGAUCAGCCAUCACAAAAGCCAUUUUUUAUCUAGUUUAUUAGUUCUGCUGCUCACUAGUAGUAUCGAUCUCAUUUGUAGUCUUUGUGUACAACUCAUUUCCAGUCAUUUAAUCUAUAAGCAAUCUGCAAUAUUAGUCAUUCACUCUCCUCUGCAUUUUACAUAUUAUUCAAUCUCUUCAUAUAAGUAAAAUCCUUAUUUUCAAGGCAAACAAAGAACCUUAAUUUGAGUCACUCUCACUCAAUGACACAAUCUCUUGGUUUGAAGUCAAAUACAGGCACAACCUUAAUCAUUCAAAACCCUUCUACUAGCGGCAGCUAGUAGUGGCACGCCCACACCCACCAAUUUCGUGUUUGAAUAAAUUCUCAGCAUGCCCGCAAGACCCAUGACGAAUUUAGGAAGCGAACAUAUUUUGGCACGCUCGGUG
RNAcentral lists this long non-coding RNA (3625 nucleotides) under Malus domestica (apple). RNAcentral's name for it is "long non-coding RNA (MDOM_LNC010015)". The record is from RNAcentral. Lineage: Eukaryota; Viridiplantae; Streptophyta; Magnoliopsida; Rosales; Rosaceae.